Molecule: small nuclear RNA, 104 nt
Organism: Pongo pygmaeus (Bornean orangutan)
Lineage: Eukaryota; Metazoa; Chordata; Mammalia; Primates; Hominidae
Source: RefSeq, a predicted model, not a curated record
GUGCCCUCUUCAGCAGCACAUAUACUAAAAUUGGAAUGAUACAGAGGUUAGCAUGACCCCUGUGCAAGGAUGACACACAAAUUCAUGAAGCAUUUCAUAUAAAG